RNAcentral lists this transfer RNA (73 nucleotides) under Stegodyphus mimosarum. It matches the Rfam family "tRNA". Rfam says of the family: Transfer RNA (tRNA) molecules are approximately 80 nucleotides in length. Their secondary structure includes four short double-helical elements and three loops (D, anti-codon, and T loops). Further hydrogen bonds mediate the characteristic L-shaped molecular structure. tRNAs have two regions of fundamental functional importance: the anti-codon, which is responsible for specific mRNA codon recognition, and the 3' end, to which the tRNAs corresponding amino acid is attached (by aminoacyl-tRNA synthetases). tRNAs cope with the degeneracy of the genetic code in two manners: having more than one tRNA (with a specific anti-codon) for a particular amino acid; and 'wobble' base-pairing, i.e. permitting non-standard base-pairing at the 3rd anti-codon position. The record is from Rfam by way of RNAcentral. Lineage: Eukaryota; Metazoa; Arthropoda; Arachnida; Araneae; Eresidae.
GACUUCGUGGUGUAGUGGUCAGCACGCUCGACGCGUAACCGAGAGGUCCGUGGUUCGAUUCCCGGCGAAGGUG